AAUGAUAUCCCACGAAGGCAUCCGAAUGGGAUUAAAGAUUUUAUCGGUGAUGGAUGGGGAUGCGUCUGAUUAGCUUGUUGGCGGGGUUAACGGCCCACCAAGGCUACGAUCAGUAGGGGUUCUGAGAGGAAGGUCCCCCACAUUGGAACUGAGACACGGUCCAAACUCCUACGGGAGGCAGCAGUGAGGAAUAUUGGUCAAUGGGCGAGAGCCUGAACCAGCCAAGUAGCGUGCAGGACGACGGCCCUAUGGGUUGUAAACUGCUUUUAUAAGGGAAUAAAGUGAGUCUCGUGAGACUUUUUGCAUGUACCUUAUGAAUAAGGACCGGCUAAUUCCGUG
RNAcentral lists this ribosomal RNA (339 nucleotides) under uncultured bacterium. Its description in RNAcentral is "bacterial SSU rRNA". It matches the Rfam family "Bacterial small subunit ribosomal RNA", at positions 172 to 507 of the family's 1533-position model. The record is from RNAcentral.